RNAcentral lists this long non-coding RNA (1177 nucleotides) under Fragaria vesca (wild strawberry). RNAcentral's name for it is "long non-coding RNA (FVES_LNC002408)". The record is from RNAcentral. Lineage: Eukaryota; Viridiplantae; Streptophyta; Magnoliopsida; Rosales; Rosaceae.
UUUAGUAAUUUAUGCCAUAUAUUAACCGUCGGUUACCAAAUUCAAAUCGCGUCAGUUUUAUACAAUUAGUUCUCAAUUAUGUUAUUGUUUAUAUCGAUAAUUAUUAUGAGUAUGUAAUGACACAUUAAUGCUAGAAGCAAUUGGUGAUGCAAAUGAGUUAGCUUUGCAAGUCACCACUACGUUAUUGACAUUUAUUGGUUCAGUAAUUUUAUUGCAUAUGCAUUAUGUCGAUGUGAAUUAAAUUGUUUCCGUUAUAAUUUAAUUUAUUUCGGUUUCAUAUAAUUACUUUCACAUUAAGUUUGUAUGUUACGAUUUAAUAACAUAUAUUGCAUUGGUUUAUGUUAUAUUGGUGAAUAUUAAUGAUGUUAAGUCAGAAGCUUAAAUCAAGCCUGAAUAUACACAAAUUGAGCCAGAAGCUCGACACAAGCUGCAAGGCUAGCACAUAAGCUGCCACGUGUCGCCAUGAGUCUAUACAAUGAAUAUAAUUCUUCUCAAACUAGGCUCACCCAGUUGGAUGCGAUGUCUAGGCAAGUACUUUUGAGGAUGUGUACUUAAGUGAGCCUCGCUCCACCACCUCAUCAUGGCUUACCUGGUCGUAUACAAUUGGAGUUACCGAAAGGGAUGAUUAAUAACAUUGCAUUUCUUGGUAGACCAUUAUUAGCUCAGUCGGCCUGUUCACCCUCUACGGGACCUAAAAGCCUAGCAUAUCUCUCAGAUUGUGCCCCGUAGGCUUGUAAAGUAUGUAGAGGCUAGGUUUAUUUAUUUCACUUUAAUUUCAGUCAAUUCCUUUGGUCCAGCAGAAUCAAACAAAAAGAAAAUAAUCUAAUGACACUGGAUUUUCGUACCUAGUCAUUAUGAAUGUCUAUAGGACUCUACAAAUAUUUUCUCAUAAUGGCUAUUGUUAAUAUAUUCAUCAUAUUUAAUGUGUAGAUAAUUACCAGAAGCAUUUACACAUAGUUACGUGACAUAUUCACUAUGCUAAAUUAGUAGCGUGGAAUUAAUAUCAUCAAUUGUUACAUGAUUAUAACUUGAAAAUACAUGUACCUAAUGAACCAGUAGUUCAAAAAUGAACCGGUAGUUCAGACAUGAACCCGUAGUUCAUGUAUAUAUUGAUCUUCUAGUUUCGAUAAUAAUCCCCUUAAAAACUUGAAGUUUCAUUCCAAAUUCAUCAGACAUG